UAGAAUUUCUAAACCGCACCUGCAACAAUAUUGGCUGAGCAUGCCGUAAGGCUCAUUUCUUAUACAUGCAGUAUAAUAUCCUGUAUAAACCGUAUUGCAUUCCACACAUUUACUAAUUGUUGCGUCAUAGGUUUCGUCGGCAUUGUUGUAUUGGUAUAUAUUGGCGUCAACAAUCGGCCUUUGUUAGUGUGGAAAGAACAGAGCUGUGAAUCGCUUGUAGAUAAAACGCGUAGUAGACAACAUACUUUUGUGCUGUUAAAACUAUUCAGAAUAAAUAUAAGGAAAUGGAGUUAGAGCAACAAAGCUGCUGUUCUUUGCAAGAUAGCAGGUGCAUGUGCACCGAAGCGUUGUCCUCUCUGAAUGACUUGAGACAGAUGGACCUAUUGUGUGACGCGGUCUUGAGGUUUGGAAGAUGGCGGCGUUUUUCAUGAGUGAUUCUCUCGAUGCGUAACGAAUAUUUCAGGAACCUCUUCACCACGACACUACAUGCCCACGAGCAGACUGACGUUCUCCUGCACGGAGUCAGCUCGGAUAUCAUGGCUCAGAUAUUGGACUACGUUUACACAAGGAAGGUGGACAUUAAUUGUGGAAACGUGCGUCAGCUGCUCGUAGCGUCCGACUACUUGUGUGUGCUAGGCGUUCUUCAGCUCUGCUGUCAAUUCCUCCAGAACACGAUGAAUCUUGGUAAUUGCAUCGGCAUCAUGCCUUUCGCAAGGU
Non-coding RNA from Zootermopsis nevadensis, 717 nucleotides. NCBI's taxonomy places the organism in Eukaryota, Metazoa, Arthropoda, Insecta, Blattodea, Termopsidae. The record is from RefSeq and is a predicted model, not a curated record.